GUUCAAGAUCCAUGAUGAGUUUUGAAGAUGUUCAUCAAGCAAACGGAUCAACCAGGCCUUUUUUCCGCUCGUUUGAUCACGAAGACAAUGGAGACGAUGAUCUGGAUGAAUAUUUUCAUCAACCUGAAAAGAAGAGGAGACUUACUGUUGAUCAAGUUCAGUUUCUUGAAAAGAGUUUUGAGCUUGAGAACAAGCUUGAACCUGAAAGGAAAAUCCAGCUUGCAAAGGAUCUUGGCCUUCAGCCGCGUCAGGUUGCUAUAUGGUUUCAAAACCGCCGAGCAAGAUGGAAGACUAAACAGCUGGAAAAGGAUUAUGACGUUUUGC
This 324-nucleotide long non-coding RNA is filed under the name Populus trichocarpa (black cottonwood). RNAcentral's name for it is "long non-coding RNA (PTRI_LNC003474)". Lineage: Eukaryota; Viridiplantae; Streptophyta; Magnoliopsida; Malpighiales; Salicaceae. The record is from RNAcentral.